RNAcentral lists this ribosomal RNA (253 nucleotides) under uncultured bacterium. RNAcentral's name for it is "partial 16S ribosomal RNA". It matches the Rfam family "Bacterial small subunit ribosomal RNA", at positions 524 to 776 of the family's 1533-position model. The record is from RNAcentral.
UACGUAGGGUGCGAGCGUUGUCCGGAAUUACUGGGCGUAAAGAGUGUGUAGGCGGUGCUCUAAGUUCGGUGUGAAAUCUCCUGGCUUAACUGGGAGGGUGCGCCGGAAACUGGAGUGCUUGAGCGUGGGAGAGGAAAGCGGAAUUCCUGGUGUAGCGGUGAAAUGCGUAGAUAUCAGGAGGAACACCUGUGGUGUAGACGGCUUUCUGGACCAUAGCUGACGCUGAGACACGAAAGCGUGGGUAGCAAACAGG